Molecule: ribosomal RNA, 253 nt
Filed under: uncultured bacterium
Lineage: Bacteria
Description: partial 16S ribosomal RNA
Rfam family: Bacterial small subunit ribosomal RNA
Source: RNAcentral
UACGUAGGGGGCUAGCGUUGUCCGGAAUCAUUGGGCGUAAAGCGCGUGUAGGCGGUUCGGUAAGUCCGCUGUGAAAGUCGGGGGCUCAACCCUCGGAUGCCGGUGGAUACUGUCGGACUAGAGUACGGAAGAGGCGAGUGGAAUUCCUGGUGUAGCGGUGAAAUGCGCAGAUAUCAGGAAGAACACCAAUGGCGAAAGCAGCUCUCUGGGACGGUACUGACGCUGAGACGCGAAAGCGUGGGGAGCGAACAGG